Molecule: long non-coding RNA, 461 nt
Organism: Homo sapiens (human)
Lineage: Eukaryota; Metazoa; Chordata; Mammalia; Primates; Hominidae
Product: long independently transcribed non-coding RNA 3147
Exons: 3
Source: RefSeq, marked validated
UGAGGAGACAAUCUUGAUAGGAAGUUUGAACUUUGAAAUAAUAUUUUAUUCUACCACCCAUCUAAAGGCUAAUUAAUCACAAAUGUUAAACCAAUCAGAAGAAAAUGUUUGUUAAACCAGAAAAGGCUGUUACCUCUCACAGACAAGUUUCUUUCUUUAGGUCAACAUAUCUGGUGUAGCUGUCAGGAUUCAGAGCAACCUCCUCACACCCUGGACCACCUAGUGAUCCCUCCUGGACUCAGCACUCAGCACCAGCACAAACCUACUGUGUUUCUCUGUCUCCACAUCUUUCCCUGAGUACAAAAGGUAGCCCUGCGUGAGUAGGCAUCUUCCAUCAUCAGAGAUCUCCAACUGAAGCUGACCUGCAGCCAGUCACCUGGUUCUUCAGACCAGGACAAGAAAUUGAAACUCAGUUUAAAAAGAUCACUCAAAAGGCUAAAUGGCUACAAGAUGACCCAUGG